UAUAUUACCUCAUUUGCCAACAA
This 23-nucleotide non-coding RNA is filed under the name Arabidopsis thaliana (thale cress). The record is from RNAcentral. Lineage: Eukaryota; Viridiplantae; Streptophyta; Magnoliopsida; Brassicales; Brassicaceae.